ACCAGACUUGGGCUUGGUUGAUCAUCCAGGGUUCUCCCUGGUGCACUCUUCCAGCCCAGGCCAGCAUCGGUUUCCGGGGUGGGAUAAAGGCGGUGGGAAUGUGGCUCUUCGGAGUGUUAUAGCCCAUCGUGCAAUGCCGCCACCGGGGACCGAGGACCGCGCUUCGGCUAGGAUGCUGGCGUAAUGGUUGUAAGCGA
This 197-nucleotide ribosomal RNA is filed under the name Helotiales sp. RNAcentral describes it as "partial large subunit ribosomal RNA". The record is from RNAcentral. Lineage: Eukaryota; Fungi; Ascomycota; Leotiomycetes; Helotiales.